GUAGUCCACGCCGUAAACGAUGAUGACUAGCUGUCGGGGCGCUUAGCGUUCCGGUGGCGCAGCUAACGCGUUAAGUCAUCCGCCUGGGGAGUACGGCCGCAAGGUUAAAACUCAAAGAAAUUGACGGGGGCCUGCACAAGCGGUGAGCAUGUGGUUUAAUUCGAAGCAACGCGCAGAACCUUACCAGCGUUUGACAUGGUAGGACGGUUUCCAGAGAUGGAUUCCUCCUUACGGGACCUACACACAGGUGCUGCAUGGCUGUCGUCAGCUCGUGUCGUGAGAU
RNAcentral lists this ribosomal RNA (283 nucleotides) under uncultured bacterium. RNAcentral's name for it is "partial 16S ribosomal RNA". It matches the Rfam family "Bacterial small subunit ribosomal RNA", at positions 790 to 1073 of the family's 1533-position model. The record is from RNAcentral.